RNAcentral lists this ribosomal RNA (497 nucleotides) under uncultured bacterium. RNAcentral's name for it is "partial 16S ribosomal RNA". It matches the Rfam family "Bacterial small subunit ribosomal RNA", at positions 28 to 507 of the family's 1533-position model. The record is from RNAcentral.
GAUGAACGCUGGCGGCGUGCCUAAUACAUGCGAGUCGAGCGAACGGACGAGAAGCUUGCUUUUCUGAUGUUAGCGGCGGACGGGUGAGUAACACGUGGAUAACCUACCUAUAAGACUGGGAUAACUUCGGGAAACCGGAGCUAAUACCGGAUAAUAUUUUGAACCGCAUGGUUCAAAAGUGAAAGACGGUCUUGCUGUCACUUAUAGAUGGAUCCGCGCUGCAUUAGCUAGUUGGUAAGGUAACGUCUUACCAAGGCAACGAUGCAUAGCCGACCUGAGAGGGUGAUCGGCCACACUGGAACUGAGACACGGUCCAGACUCCUACGGGAGGCAGCAGUAGGGAAUCUUCCGCAAUGGGCGAAAGCCUGACGGAGCAACGCCGCGUGAGUGAUGAAGGUCUUCGGAUCGUAAAACUCUGUUAUUAGGGAAGAACAUAUGUGUAAGUAACUGUGCACAUCUUGACGGUACCUAAUCAGAAAGCCACGGCUAACUACGUG